GCCUGCUUAGUAUAGUGGUUAGUACUCCACGUUGUGGCCGUGGCGACGCUGGUUAGAUUCCAGCAGCAGGCA
Caenorhabditis elegans is the source of this 72-nucleotide transfer RNA. The record is from Ensembl. NCBI's taxonomy places the organism in Eukaryota, Metazoa, Nematoda, Chromadorea, Rhabditida, Rhabditidae.